GAGUAUGAAGACGUUUAGCAGGCUAACAGCUUGCCAUUCUGGCAGCUUCAUCCUCAUAUAAGCUGCUUAGUUGAUUGUCUCUUGUUGAAGUUGUUUUAUUGGCUGGCUUUAAAAUCAACACAAGAAGCAUCAUUGGAUAUGUUUGCCUGAUGAGAAGACAAUUUCUAUAGCACUCCCUUGACAAAUUGUGAAGAAAGAUCUACAAGUUACAAGAAUACAAAAUUGAUAGUGAUACCUGAUAACUCCUUUCAUAACACUCAUUCGAUAGUUCUGCCUUAAAACACCCUGAAAAGAAAUCAUGUUUGAAAAUCCUGUGGUCAUUCAGAAAACACAUGUGUGGUGAUGGCUAUCAAUCACCGAUUUCAUCAUGUAUUCCGGUAUUCCCCAUCUUCCAUGUUUUCUGAUUGUAACUCAGGGAUACGUAACUAAGUUUGAGUGAAGUGAAGCCUUUUGGAGCUGUUGAUGGCCGGAAGUCUGUAACUACCCAACACGAGGUCACUAGGUUCUCACUGUCAAAUAGAACUAUGCAAGCGGCAGUUGCAGACUUUGCAGACCCCCCAAGAUCUCCUGGCCGUUCCUUGUGCCGAUUUAAAGCAAGUCCCUGACUAUCAUCAGAUAUAUCAUCAAGGAUCAAAACAUGUACUUUGGUUGAGACCAGAUAAUUGAGACCCGCGGAUUACAGAGAGACGUUACCAAUGACUUGUGGAGUUUAUUACCAACAUCGUCAAGACUAAACCGAUUUAUAAUAGUGGGUAAGUGUAAAAUUUAAUUUGUUGUACAGCAACCGAGGAGUGGAAACGCGUAAAGUGACCCCUAAUAGAAGAUAUUCGUACUGCAGGACAAAUGUCAUCAUGUUGUUGAUGACGGAGAGAAAGCUAGAGUCGUACACUCGUAGGUUACUUUAGAAUGUCUUAAGUUAAAUUUAGGUAUUUUUUCAACAUGUUCCAACUGAUGCAGUGUUUAUUAAUUAUUUUUCAAUUACCAUUAUAGAGUUCAACCUGCAGACGGGCCGGCCAGUUUGCAUGUCCUUCACGUUUGAAGGUCACGGGGAUCAUUCCGUAACAAUAACUGUCAUGCGGUGGUGUAGAGGUUGGGUGAGAAUCGUGCAGUGGUGUAGAGGUUGGGUG
Long non-coding RNA from Daphnia pulex (common water flea), 1127 nucleotides. RefSeq lists it as uncharacterized. The transcript is spliced from 5 exons. NCBI's taxonomy places the organism in Eukaryota, Metazoa, Arthropoda, Branchiopoda, Diplostraca, Daphniidae. The record is from RefSeq and is a predicted model, not a curated record.